This 449-nucleotide ribosomal RNA is filed under the name Camellia petelotii. RNAcentral's name for it is "partial large subunit ribosomal RNA". It matches the Rfam family "Eukaryotic large subunit ribosomal RNA", at positions 2927 to 3377 of the family's 3401-position model. Lineage: Eukaryota; Viridiplantae; Streptophyta; Magnoliopsida; Ericales; Theaceae. The record is from RNAcentral.
GAUUGUUCACCCACCAAUAGGGAACGUGAGCUGGGUUUAGACCGUCAUGAGAUAGGUUAGUUUUUACCAUGCUGAUGACGGUGACGCAAUAGUAAUUCAACCUAGUACGAGAGGAACCGUUGAUUCACAUAAUUGGUCAUCACGCUUGGUUGAAAAGCCAGUGGUGCGAAGCUACCAUGCGGUAGAUUAUGAUUGAACGCUUCUAAGUCAAAAUUCGGGCUAGAAAUGACACAUGCGCCUGCUGCCCAAUUGCCAACCAGCAGUAGGGGCCGGCUGACCCCUAAAGGCGCGUGUCGUUGAUGAAGCCCACGCGGCACAUGAGCCGCACAGAUCGCCUUGAAGUACAAUUCCUAUCUCGAGCGACAGGUAAAAUCCUUUGCAGAUGGCUUAAAUACGUGACGAGGUAUUGUAAGUGGUAGAGUGGCCUUGCUACCAUGAUCCACUGAGAU